CUCGUGUCGUGAGAUGUUGGGUUAAGUCCCGCAACGAGCGCAACCCUCGUCCUAUGUUGCCAGCGGGUCAUGCCGGGGACUCAUGGGAGACUGCCGGGGUCAACUCGGAGGAAGUGGGGAUGACGUCAAAUCAUCAUGCCCCUUAUGUCUUGGGCUUCACGCAUGCUACAAUGGCCGGUACAAAGGGCUGCGAUACCGCGAGGUGGAGCGAAUCCCAGAAAGCCGGUCUCAGUUCGGAUUGGGGUCUGCAACUCGACCCCAUGAAGUCGGAGUCGCUAGUAAUCGCAGAUCAGCAACGCUGCGGUGAAUACGGUUCCCGGGCCUU
RNAcentral lists this ribosomal RNA (325 nucleotides) under uncultured Cellulomonas sp. RNAcentral describes it as "bacterial SSU rRNA". It matches the Rfam family "Bacterial small subunit ribosomal RNA", at positions 1059 to 1382 of the family's 1533-position model. The record is from RNAcentral. Lineage: Bacteria; Bacillati; Actinomycetota; Actinomycetes; Micrococcales; Cellulomonadaceae.